AUGCACGCUGGCGGGGUGCCUAAUCCAUGCCAGUCGAGCGAACAGACGAGGAGCUUGCUCCUCUGACGUUAGCGGCGGACGGGUGAGUAACACGUGGAUAACCUACCUAUAAGACUGGGAUAACUUCGGGAAACCGGAGCUAAUACCGGAUAAUAUAUUGAACCGCCUGGUUCAAUAGUGAAAGACGGUUUUGCUGUCACUUAUAGAUGGAUCCGCGCCGCAUUAGCUAGUUGGUAAGGUAACGGCUUACCAAGGCAACGAUGCGUAGCCGACCUGAGAGGGUGAUCGGCCACACUGGAACUGAGACACGGUCCAGACUCCUACGGGAGGCAGCAGUAGGGAAUCUUCCGCAAUGGGCGAAAGCCUGACGGAGCAACGCCGCGUGAGUGAUGAAGGUCUUCGGAUCGUAAAACUCUGUUAUUAGGGAAGAACAAAUGUGUAAGUAACUAUGCACGUCUUGACGGUACCUAAUCAGAAAGCCACGGCUAACUACGUG
RNAcentral lists this ribosomal RNA (496 nucleotides) under uncultured bacterium. RNAcentral describes it as "partial 16S ribosomal RNA". It matches the Rfam family "Bacterial small subunit ribosomal RNA", at positions 29 to 507 of the family's 1533-position model. The record is from RNAcentral.